CAUAGUGAAAGCGAGCCUUAAUAGGGCGUUAGUCACUGUUUACAGACCCGAACCCGGAUGAUCUAACCAUGGCCAGUGUGAAGCUUAGGUAACACUAAGUGGAGGCGCGAACCGACUGAUGUUGAAAAAUCAGCGGAUGAGCUGUGGUUAGGGGUGAAAUGCCAAUCGAAUCCGGAGCUAGCUGGUUCUCCCCGAAAUGCGUUUAGGCGCAGCGGUUAACGCUAUAGCUUAGGGGUAAAGCACUGUUUCGGUGCGGGCUGCUAACGCGGUACCAAAUCGAUGCAAACUCUGAAUACUAAGUGUGUAGUUAACCAGUAAGACUGUGGGGGAUAAGCUCCAUUGUCAAGAGGGAAACAGCCCAGACCACCAGCUAAGGCCCCCAAAUAAUUACUAAGUGGCAAAGGAUGUGGGAACACUGAGACAAUCAGGAGGUUCGCCUAGAAGCAGCUAUCCUUUAAAGAGUGCGUAAUAGCUCACUGAUCAAGUGCACCUGCGCCGAAAAUGACUGGGACUAAGUAAUUUGCCGAAGCUGUGGGAUUUUUAAAAAUCGGUAGGGGAGCGUUCCACCUUAGAUAGAAGCAUUAGCGUAAGCGGAUGUGGACGAAGUGGAAGUGAGAAUGUCGGCUUGAGUAGCGAAAACAUUGGUGAGAAUCCAAUGCCCCGAAAACCUAAGGUUUCCUCCGGAAGGCUCGUCCGCGGAGGGUGAGUCAGGACCUAAGGUGAGGCCGAAAGGCGUAACUAAUGGACAACGGGUUAAUAUUCCUGUACCGUUUAUUGUUGGUAUCGAGGGACGGAGAAGGCUAAACCAUCCGGAUGUUGGUUACCGGUUUAAGCGUCAAAGGUGUUGAUAAACGGAGAAAACGUUUUGAGCUAAGGCGCGAAUACUAGAUACUAAGGUAUCGAAGUGGUUGAUGUCAUACUUCCAAGAAAAGCUCGAAAUAUCAUAAACAAUAAACGCCUGUACCUUAAACCGACACAGGUAGGUAGGUAGAGUAUACCAAGGGGCGCGAGACAACUCUCUCUAAGGAACUCGGCAAAAUAAUCUCGUAACUUCGGAAGAAGAGGUACCCUCGCGAGAGGGUUGCAAUAACCAGACCCUGGCGACUGUUUACCAAAAACACAGGUCUCCGCAAAUUCGUAAGAUGACGUAUGGAGGCUGACGCCUGCCCAGUGCCGGAAGGUUAAAGAAGUCGGUCAAUCCUCGGAUGAAGCUGGCGACUGAAGCCCCGGUGAACGGCGGCCGUAACUAUAACGGUCCUAAGGUAGCGAAAUUCCUUGUCGGGUAAGUUCCGACCCGCACGAAAGGCGUAACGAUCAGGGUGCUGUCUCGGAGAGAGGCUCGGCGAAAUAGACAUGUCUGUGAAGAUGCGGACUACUGC
This 1379-nucleotide ribosomal RNA is filed under the name Hemiselmis cryptochromatica. Its description in RNAcentral is "partial 23S ribosomal RNA". It matches the Rfam family "Bacterial large subunit ribosomal RNA", at positions 667 to 2072 of the family's 2925-position model. Lineage: Eukaryota; Cryptophyceae; Cryptomonadales; Hemiselmidaceae. The record is from RNAcentral.